Molecule: ribosomal RNA, 250 nt
Filed under: uncultured bacterium
Lineage: Bacteria
Description: partial 16S ribosomal RNA
Rfam family: Bacterial small subunit ribosomal RNA
Source: RNAcentral
UACGUAGGGUGCAAACGUUGCUCGGAAUCAUUGGGCGUAAAGCGCACGUAGGCGGCGCUCUAAGUCGGAUGUGAAAUCCCUCGGCUCAACCGAGGAAGUGCAUCCGAAACUGGAGUGCUCGAGUAUGCAAGAGGGUCGCGGAAUUCUCGGUGUAGAGGUGAAAUUCGUAGAUAUCGGGAGGAACACCAGUGGCGAAGGCGGCGACCUGGGGCAAUACUGACGCUGAGGUGCGAAAGCGUGGGGAGCAAAC